Molecule: long non-coding RNA, 1856 nt
Organism: Lonchura striata (white-rumped munia)
Lineage: Eukaryota; Metazoa; Chordata; Aves; Passeriformes; Estrildidae
Source: Ensembl
AUGGGAUUUUUCCUGCUGCAGGUGAAGGGUCCCAAAGGUGCGAUCCCGAAAUUCCUUCAUGCGGAAGCUGAGCAGGGGGAUCCUGCCAAUUCCAGAGGUUUUUUUUUGUUUUUUUUUCCCCAAAUUCCUCUUCCCCUUAAGGAAUUCCUCAGCUCAUCCAACACUACAGCCCCAAUUCCUCGCGGCGGGAAAAUCCAAGGAAAACGGAAUUCCUGGCAGAGAGGAUCCGAAUUUGAUCCUGGGAAUUUCCUUCCCCACCCAUGGGAGCUGCAGAUCCCUAAUUCCCAAAUUAGGGAAGGCUCAGAAAUCCAGGGAAAUCAGGAACUUUUUGGGAUUGGAAAUUCCUCCCCAAGGAGAGCAGGAGUUUUCCAAGGCCAGAAUUCCUAUCCAAGGAAAUCAGGAACUUUUUGGGAUUGGGAAUUCCUGUCCUGGGAAUUCAGGAAUUUUUUGGGAUUGGGAAUCCCUAUCCAGGGGAAGUGGAGAUUCCCAAGGUCAGAAAUCUGGAUUGAAGGAAAUCCGGAGUUCCUUGGGAUUGGGAAUCCCUAUCCAGGGAAAUGGGGAACUUUUUGGGAUUGGGAAUCCUCCUCCAGGAAAAGUGGGAGCUUCCCAAGGUCAGAAUCCAUAUCCAAGGAAAUCAGGGGUUCCUUGGGAUUGGGAACGCGUGUCCAGGGAAAUCGGGGACGCUUUGGGAUUGGGAAUGUCUAUCCAGAGAUAUCAGGACCGUUUUGGGAUCGGGAAUCCCUCCAGAGGGAAAAAACGGGAUCUCCUUGGGGGUUGGGAAAUCCCAAAGCAGAGGAGCCAGGAGCUUCCCAGGCUCCUUUUCCCCGGAGCGAUCCCACAUUCUCCCCUCCUCUUUUUCCCGGUUUUCCUUGGAUUUCUCCCCGAGUUCCCUCCUUUUUCCCCCCCCCGCUGUACAUUUCGGACGAGGCGUUCAUCCCAAAUAAACUUUUUUUGGAAAGGGAGCGGAGUUUUCCUUGGAAAACCGCGGGGUCUCCGUCAAUCGGCCCCUCCCAGCGAUCCCAGUCAUUCCCAGUUUGGAGGCUCGGCUGGCUCUGCUUGGGAAUUUCCCUCCUGGAAAAGCUCCCAGAGGAUUUCCCAGCGUUUUGAUUCCCGGUAAAAAGAACCCAAAAGGGAUUUUCUCCUUUUUUUUUUCGUUUUUUUGUUUUUUUGUUUCCCCUUUUAAGUGGGAAUUCCCCCAAAAGCUGCUCCGGCAGCUCCACGUCCAUUCCCAGCUCAUGGAUGUCAUCCCUGAUCCGAAUCUUUGGGAUUUCCUCCUUCCUGCUUUUCCUUGGAUGCAGAGCCCGCCCUGCCUGCGUUGGCAGGCUCAGCACCUCACUCCCAUCCCUCUUCCCAAUCCCAAUCCCAUUUAAUGCCAUUCCCAAUCCCAAUCCUAUUCCCAUUCUCAUUCCCAAUCCUGUUCCCAAUCCCAGUCUCAUUCUCAUUUCCGUUCCCAAUCCCAUUCCCACCCCCAGUUCCAAUCCCAAUCCCAUUCCCAUUCCCAAUCCCAAUCCUGUUCCCAAUCCCAGUCUCAUUCUCAAUUCCGUUCCCAAUCCCAUUAUCCAAUCCCAAUGCCAUUCCCAAUGCCAUUCCCAAUCCCAAUCCUAUUCCUGUUCCCAUUCCCAUUCCCAGUCCAAUUCCCCAUCCUGCCCCACUGCACUCUCCCAUUCCCACCCUCCCAUCCUGCCCCAUUCCCAUCCCCUCACUCCCGAUCCCAUCCAGCCAUUCCCACCCCAUUCCCUCUCCCCCAUUCCCAUUCCCACCCCAUUCCCUCUCCCCCAUUCCCAUUCCCACCCCAUUCCCUCUCCCCCAUUCCCAUUCCCACCCCAUUCCCACCCCAUUUUGUCUUCCCCAUUCCC